CUGCAAUUUCAGGUAGCUUUUCUGACUCUUAAAGAGAUCUCAAGUAUACCUUCAGAGAAAUGCCAGCAAAAACUGUAGUCAUUUGGGAAGGAAUAAGCCUGGAAGAAAAAGAUACAACGAACUAGCACAACGAGGAGUUUGAAAAGUUCAUGACAGCUCACAGCUGAUGAUGGUGGCAAUCUUAAGGAUACAGAAAGCUCAUUCCUCAUGCAGGGAAGAAGAAAAUAUUCUAAAGAAGAGAUAAGCAUAUUCCAUGAAAUCAAAAAAGCGUAAAACGCUGGAGGAGAAGUCAGUAGCAAGCAGCUAAGACAACAUGGUACAUGUGGCUAGAAGCCCACCAACUGCUAACAACCAGCUGGAGGGUAAGUCAAAAGCUAUGAGAGCCCAGAAGGAGAACAAUUAUUUAGACCUGGAGGGGCCAGUUGGGAAAGUCUUUGAAGGGUCUUCAGAAAAUGGACCAAAAGAAAAGAGGAAAAGUCAUUCUACUGAGAGGUGUUUGUGUAAUCAAAGCAACCGAGGCCUAAGAACUCACAAAAGAUUAGAAAAGGGUAAAGGAUGCCUGGAAAGCCGGACUAGGAAAAGGCUGUGAAGGGCCCUGAAGGUCACAUGUCACAUGUUGCCUGCAGCAUGCAGAAUCAAAACAUGAUAAAUCAUGUCUUGAAUCAUGACAUAUGAAGCAUGACACACGAAUCAUGACAUGUGACAUGUUGAAUGUCACAUGUCACAUGCCGUAGGCAGCCAUCAAGAGUAUUUGAAAGGAAAGUGUAUAAUCAGGCCUGUGCUUUAGUAAGACAAUUUGUAUAGUGUUCAGUGUGGAUUAAAAUGGAGAACACAGGUAUCAGUUUGACAUCGACAGUACAGGAAACCAUUUGGGUUUCUUGUACACCAAAAUAUUAAAACAUACACGCAAACACACCAACACAUUAAAAUCUUGAGAGAGAGGGCCAAAAGUUCUUUGUCGCUGGACUAAAAGUGGAAAUAAAUGUUUACAACCUCUAAGGUGGAUUAAGCUAAGAAUUUGGAGUUGUUGGCAAAACUGCCACAUAAAAUUUCAGACAUGCAAAGAAAUGCAAUCGUAGACUUAUGCACAUACUUCCACCAGAGAAGGGAAUCUGGGCAGAGUGUUCAAAGCUUAAGAAAUUCCUUUGCUCUUCACCAAGAAGAGCCAACAGAGUUUUCGUUGAAUCAACUCUUAUAUUCCCUUAAAAAGAAGUUGAUAGUGUUGUGGAAAACUCACCCAUUGAAGUGACAACAAAAACAGCAACCCAGUAUGAGUUAACUGGUAUUAUGUUAAAGGGACAAGUAACUGCACUUUUGACACACAUCCUCUAAAAGGUAGGGUGGGAGUGUUUCAAAGAACCAAGUCUGAGUAAUAGAAAAGCAUAUACCACUUCCCCAUAUACACGUUCGAGCAUGGGGGAGCAGGAAGCUGGGUAAUUGAAUGCAGUUGUGCACACUGGCAAUUUUCCCGCCACAUACCAUUUCUUCGGUGUCUCUCCCAAAAUUCUCCUCCUAAGUGGCACAUCCCUUUAUUGAUCAUCUUUCCCCAUACUGAUCAUCCUCAGCAAUCAUGUGAGUUAUUAGUCUAAGUAUUUGUUUUUCUCAAAUAUGGUCUUUUAACUACUCCCUAAAUAUUUUAUAUAUACAUAGUUUGUUUUCCCAAUUUAACUACAAGCAUUUAAAAAAUGGGAAUAUUUGUCUAUAUUUCUGUAAUUUUUCAUCAUGCCUUAUAUGGUAUAUAAAGAUCAACAGCAAUAAAACAACAACAGUAAUAAUAGCUAAGACCUUUUG
This is a long non-coding RNA of Homo sapiens (human), 1791 nucleotides long. Ensembl annotates it as IFNG antisense RNA 1. Its record names the gene IFNG-AS1. Lineage: Eukaryota; Metazoa; Chordata; Mammalia; Primates; Hominidae. The record is from Ensembl.